Molecule: ribosomal RNA, 279 nt
Filed under: uncultured bacterium
Lineage: Bacteria
Description: partial 16S ribosomal RNA
Rfam family: Bacterial small subunit ribosomal RNA
Source: RNAcentral
UGCCAGCCGCCGCGGUAAUACGUAGGGUGCAAGCGUUAAUCGGAAUUACUAGGCGUAAAGCGUGCGCAGGCGGCUUUUUAAGACAGGUGUGAAAUCCCCGGGCUUAACCUGGGAAUUGCAUUCGAUACUGUCGAGCUAGAAUGUGGAAGAGGGAAGUGGAAUUCCAGGUGUAGCGGUGAAAUGCGUAGAUAUCUGGAGGAACAUCAGUGGCGAAGGCGGCUUCCUGGUCCAACAUUGACGCUGAGGUGCGAAAGCGUGGGGAGCAAACAGGAUUAGAUA